This is a long non-coding RNA of Oryzias melastigma (Indian medaka), 4569 nucleotides long. RefSeq lists it as uncharacterized. The record is from RefSeq and is a predicted model, not a curated record. Lineage: Eukaryota; Metazoa; Chordata; Actinopteri; Beloniformes; Adrianichthyidae. The transcript has 4 exons.
CUUUAUAGGAAAACAAAGAUAAAAUAAUAAUUAUUAAAAGUGAAUAUUGAAAUGAAAUUUCCCUUAGUAUUCAUUUUAUUUAAAUAAAUUAAUUUGUUUCUGUUUUUUUUUUUUAAAUCUAGAAUUAACCAUGACAUGAGGAUCCUCCUUUUAACAAGAAACUGGUACGGUCCAAACAGUCACCCUACAAGACAGACGGUCGUUUACCUGGCCAAAAUUUUGUACUGAAGUACCUGAAUUUGUGGUCGGGCUUUAAACAUUAGUGAUGGAGUCAAAUUGCUACAGCAAGUUUGAGACGAAAAUGUGAGUUUUUAUGUUUUUAGAAGAACAGCGACGUGGUGUAAACAAAAGUCUAUCGGAGUUUUAUGUAGGGCGUCGAACAAGAUGGCGACUCGUGAGGAAUCAGACAAAGGAGCGUUUCAUCAGUGAGGGGGUGUACCGUAUUUCAUUAUAACACCCCUCCUCUUCCGCUUUCCUCCCUCGCCGUCUUCCGUCCUGUCCGGUGCGAUGAAGCCACAGGAUGAGCAUCAGCAGAGCCAGCAGCAGCAGGCUCAUGGCCAGCGUCAGCAGGACGGCCUGCAGGAGGCCGGAGGGACCGUCUGGAGCUGCGGGAACAACAGAUGUGAACUUCUCCCCGGGGGGGAGGGCAAAAGCUAAGUGUGGACCCUCACUGCUGUAGAUGGACAGGUUGAUGUAGCAGUUCUCCGUUCCAAGGACGUUGGAGGCCGAGCAUCGGUACAGACCCGACAUCUGAGAGGACACGUUCACAAUCCGCACUGAGCCGGAAAAUUCCCCUGAACCACAGAGAGACAUGGAAGUCCAACAAGGACACUUCAGGAAGUGGGAUUUCCUCGGGGUCCACCUUGGCCCAGCGGAUAUCCGGAGCGGGGACCCCCUCUGCCACCGAGCAGGACAGCCUGACGCUGCCUCCCAGCUCCAGAUCUCCAUCCCACUGGCAGACGGGCAACGAGGGCGGCUCUGCAACACGGCCUAACGCUGAAUCUCUGCUCUGACAACUUUCACUUUUGAUGAUCUAAGACACUCACCCAGAACAUUCAGCACCAGCUCUCCUAUGCCGGGAUCUGCAGCCUCGGGGGGGUUGUUCACCAUGCAUCUGUAGACUCCAGCGUCCGACACUCGAGUGUCGUUGAGGAAGAUGUCCGCACUCACAGGAAGACCUGUCAUCAGCAGGUAGGAAUAAGGAGUUUCAGCUGCAACCAAACCUGCGUGAGAACCACUGACUUGUCCACGGUUAUGCAGAUCACCGAUCCAACGUUGACGUCUCUGGUGCCUUCGGGAACCAGGAUCUUUGCCAGGUAGCACUCCUCCAGCAUCUCAAAACCUACUGUGGCUUUGUCCGUCUCCACCUACGGAAACAGAGAUGACCGUUUCAUGAUUUAAAAAAAUUAAACUGAAUUUAUGAAAUAUUGUGCGACCUUCAGACCUCGGCUAUAAGGUCGCCCUCGCUGAUCUUGUCCCCCUCCUUCUUCUCCCAGCGGGCGAUGGUCCCGGUCUGCAUGGUGGGUGACAGAGCAGGAAGCUCCACCUGCAAAAACCAAAACAAACCCAAAGUGCUCAGCGAAGACGGCUGGAACAACCUCCACGGACGAAGAGCUAAAAUAAACAAAACCACUGGGCAUGGCUUACUGUCCAUCACACCACAUCAUCCCACUCUGAUGAGCAAACACAAAUGAUUUCAACACAUCUGUGGACUUAAUGAAAGUCACAGAGAUCAACAAGCGGAAGACAGCUAAAAAUACAAGAAGCAUCCAAACAUCCACAAUGAAUCUGAGGAUGGAGAGAAGAUCCUGAAAAGAUAUUUUUAUCUCAGAGACCGAGACAAGGUCCUUCAGCUUUAUGGAACACAAAGAUGCUUUUAGAUUUAUAUUUUAGAGACCAAGUUCUACUAAAAAAUAUGGAAAAACUGAAUCUAAAAUAUAUAUUACUACCGACUGCUUCCCAUUAAAACACCUGUUUGAUAAUCUGAAAAUACCUUGAUAAUUUGAUCUAAUUUCCAGUUUUAAAGUUUGGCUUUCAUUAUAUAAAAUUAGAAAAGUUUUUUUUUGCUAACAAUAAACUUAAUAAAGACACAAGAAGUUGCAAUGGUGGAAAACUGCUGUGGAUUUGAUGUUAUUGUUCAUAAUUUAGUUUUUUGGUUCUGAUAUUAGACAAAAAGUAUAAUUGUGAUCAGCUUUUUUAACAUGUUGAUUAUUAUUAUUUUCAAUUAUAAAUGUUGAUUUUUAAUUGAUAACCUAAAAUCACUGCAGUGCAGGACCACCGUCUAUUUCCUGGAUCUGAGUCGUGAUGUAACAGAAACUAAAUUGCAUUUAGAGGCCGAACUGUAAACACUUUGAUUUAUAAAGGAUUUUAAAAAAUCUGCAGGUUGGGAGCAGUUCACCUUCACCCAGCUGGGCUGAACCAGUAGCUACGGUGAACACCGGAGCCGCGUGACCCUGACGUUCGGUUCGAAGCCUUACCUUACUGUGGGGCGGCAGACUGUAGAACCGUAUGUUCGGGCUGGAACCCACCAGUUGGGAAGACCGUAGCAGGCCGGCUCUGUGACUGUACACCGAGCCCAAGGCCGACGUUCGUGACCCGGCUCCGCCGUGUAGCCGCCUCUCACCGCUGGAUCUGGGACGAGAGCCGAGCGCGACAGGCCGUGCCGGGAGGACCCGGGGCCCGGCGCGAGCACACGGCCGGAGCCGCAGCAACAAACGCAGCAUGUCGACUCGAAACGGAGGCCACACGGAACCAAAACAAAACUGCCCGAGACCACGGAAGAGAAGAGACCUUCCCCGUUUUCUAAUGACCUCCUCACACGACACUUUACGGCUCUCCUCCAAGGGUUGCCGUCAGUGCGCUGGAGGUGUCGUAAACGCUGCUGGUUCUAAUUUCGAUUUAAAAAAAAAAAAAAAAAAACGUUUCAAUAAUUAUGAAUAUAAAAUAAAAAACAAGAAAAAAAAUAGGGAGAAAUAAAGAAAAAAUAUUUUACAAACGAUACAUUUUCAAAACACUAAAAUAUGUUAAAUUUCAAAUUAACUUAUUGCAAUCCCAAAAGUGGCCACACGGUAGCAGUAUAACCUCAUUAUCACUCUUGGGCAAAUUAACCUUUUUUGAUUCCCUCACACAAACACACUGGUUUAAGUACUGGGGGGUUGAAAAAAAAAAAAGCAUUGCAGACAUGUAACCCAUUAUCCAUGUCUACUAUCAUGUCUUUGUGAGGUGCUAAAUAUCUUUUUAGUAAGGUUAAAAGGUGUAAAAUAUCUUUUUAGUAAGGCUAUAAGAUGUAAAACAAGAAACGUUAUUAAACUAAUAUUGAUCUUACUAUAAAUACUCUAAAUUACAUAAAAUAAUUACUAAAUGAAUCAUAUAUUAAUUUAAAUGAAUAAAAAACAGAUUAUGAAGUUUCUUCAGGAAUAUUUAUAGCAGGCAGUUAAAAAAAAUGGAGAUUGUCAUCAAGUUUUUAUAUACUUUAUAUAUUUUGUAAACAUAAAAUUCCAAUUUAUCCUGAAGAAGUAUUUAGUUGGUGUACUUCCUACACAAUACGUUCAUGGUCUAUACUAGUAUACUUGUACUUCAAGUGUACUACUUUUCCUCAGCCCCUGAUUUGAUUUAGUCAGAAUGGAUCCUACACAAUUAAGUUACAAAUUUGAUUUAAAAAUACACAACUUUUGAAUUAAACAAAAUGUUUGUGUACUGGAAUUUAACAAAUAUACAUUUCUGAAGUAUAUAUCAGCUUGUAUGUGAACAUUAAAUCAUUUAAAACAAAUUUUGCCAUUUCUGUGGAUCUGCACCAGCUAUAUGUGCCAUAUCGCUUGAAUCUUACUAUUAACAUGUUUGAAUUAAGACUCAACAAAAUUAGUUUGCUAGUAGGCUGCUGAAGUUAGAAACUGGGAAAAAUAUGAUGCGCUGGGGUUCUGUUUUAUAUUCUCCUUUACUUACCUCUCCUCUAUUAUUUAUUUAAUUUAGUCCUCUGUGCUUCUUUUUGGUGCAGUGGGAUUCAUAUGUUGUUUCUCUUUUCCACUCCCCUUCGGGAGAGUUUUCAGAUUGAAGCCCAAUGAGGCAAUUGUUUUGUGAUAUUAGGCUAAAUAAAUAAAAUUGAAUUGGAUGCGCCCUCAAUCUGGAGAUCAAAUAGAAUUGGGAAACCUUUCAAGUUUAGUAAUUUGUGGUUAAACCUUCAUAAAAAUGUAGUUUGACAGCUCAUCAUAAAAAAGAAAACAGACAUAAAAAAAGGACAAAUUUAUUUGAAAAUAUCUAACAAAAGUAGCUGUGUAUUAUUUUUCGUAAACACACAGUACAGAUAGUUCUUAAAUAAAAAUACAAACCAGAAACCAGCAGAAGGCCUUGCUGCCAGCUGGUCGCUGAAACUCACUGGUCUACAGCGGCGGGACUCCAACAGAGCAGGAGAAAUAAUCCAUCCACAAAUAUAUACACACAUGCAAACAUCCACACUUUAAACUGCUCUGAAACACAAACCUCCAACAUAAAAACAACCUUAUAUAUAAUCCAGUCAUAAAAAUACCACGAAAAUAGAAGUUUGGAGUUUUUACACAAAAAUAAGAAAAAAAA